This is a long non-coding RNA of Rattus rattus (black rat), 554 nucleotides long. RefSeq lists it as uncharacterized. The transcript has 3 exons. Lineage: Eukaryota; Metazoa; Chordata; Mammalia; Rodentia; Muridae. The record is from RefSeq and is a predicted model, not a curated record.
CGUGUGACGCCGCAGGCCGCGGCGGAGCUGGGGAUUAAUGGGAAAAGUUUUGACAGGAGCUGGGGGAUUCUGCGGAGCCUGCGGGACGGCGGCGGCGGCGGCGGGAGAGGCGGCUGGAACAGCGCUGUGCAGCAGCGUGGUUAUGCGUGUGGGACUCGCCCAGAGGCUCCUGCUCACUGACAGAUGAGGACAAACCCACGGUAAAGAGCAUGGAAGGCCUGGCAGGUCUCCUGGGAUUACAUCACUUCCUGUUGCCUUUAGGAAGCCCUCUCUGUACUCCGCAGUGUGUCAGGAACGGGCAUGCUCUGGUGAGGGAGUGGUGGGUAACGUGUGCGUGAGAGGUGUGGGCUCCGGGUGUGGCCAUCAAAGCCUUCUGAAGUCAUCAGGAGAGGUGACUCCGAAGCCGUGUGCCCUCAGAAAUGUCAGUGAGGAACACUUCCAGGAAGUCUGAUGUAGUCUGCCCAGCUGCCUGUCCCCUCCCACAGCUGUGCGUGCUGCCUGAGUCACCCCAGCGGGGAGCCCUGCUACUCUCCACACACUUCCUGUCUGGGAAA